Molecule: long non-coding RNA, 489 nt
Filed under: Manihot esculenta (cassava)
Lineage: Eukaryota; Viridiplantae; Streptophyta; Magnoliopsida; Malpighiales; Euphorbiaceae
Description: long non-coding RNA (MESC_LNC003104)
Source: RNAcentral
ACCGAGGAGGUCAGUAGUGCUAGCAGUUGCAGAGUCAGUCAGCGUCUGCCAGGAGGUGAGUAGAACUAAACUUAAUGUUUUAUUUUAAGAAAUUCUAAUGCCUAAAGCAUGAGCAUGCAUCAUGAUUAUGUAUAGUAGGUUGAUUGCACUAGUUCACGAAUAUGUCGCAUUGCAUUAUUUCAUGUUGAUGCUGAGGAAGGGUGGACCGAGGCGACUUCAAUAGCCCAUAUCUGUCACGAGUCUUGUCUUAGUCCUUUGAGAGCCGGACAAGUACAUGUAGGAAAGUCCAUGUGAGCUCUCUGUGGACCAGACACCAUGUCAUGUAUGUUACAGGCCUUUGUGAGCUCCUAUGGGGGAGCCGGGCACCGACAGAGGGAUUUUUUGAUGUCAUGUCCAUCCUCUGAGAGGAAAGAUGCAUGCAAAAAGACAGACUCUCAGAAACCAGGGUCCGUGGGGAAUAAAUAUUGCAUGAGCCCCGAGACGGACAAG